CCGGGACCUGGUUUGUUCACUGAGUUCUGGACAGAACCAUUUUCCCCAAAUGACCAGAAGAAUGAGGUCUGCGACUUCUCUCAGUUUGUUGCUGACUUUCUUAUCUCGUGUCCAGUCGGAUAUUUCAUCGUAUCAGCCAGGGACAGAGACCGGGCGUCCCGGAGGCUCCCUGAGACUGACCUGUAAAACCAGCGGCUUCGAUCUUGGUAGUGCUUUCAUGCACUGGGUCCGACAGGUUCCCGGACAGGGACUGGAGUGGUUGGUUUAUUACUAUAGUUCAUCCAGCAACAGCUACGCCCCAGCAAUUAAGAAUCGAUUUACUGCAUCCAAAGACACUUCAAGGAACAUCUUCUCCUUGGACAUGACAAACCUGAAGAUUGAAGACACCGCCAUCUAUUACUGUGCAAGAGGCCACAGCGAGAGGAACCAGGGCUGGACCCGAACAAGAACAGAUCGAGAGGGACUCAACAACUUCCAUCAUAACCUGACGGGACAGUUUUCCUAUUGGGGACAAGGGACCAUGGUGACGGUGACUGCAGCGACACCAUCUUCUCCCAUUCUCUACAGCCUGGUCUCCCCCUGUCAGCAACACAACACAGACGGUGCCGUCACCUACGGCUGUUUGGCGAUGGACUACUCCCCAGAAAUCACCAGCCUGACCUGGAAGAAAGAUGGGCAGCCGAUCACCACUGGAUUUAAGACUUACCCGUCAGUGAGAAACCACAAGGGAACCUACACCCUGAGCAGCCAGUUAACCAUUACCGAGUCAGAGGGGGAAUGCAGCAAAAUCAAGUGUGAGGUUCGACAAUUCGGCUCAGGCAAGAGCAUUGGAAUGCCAUGUUCUCCAAUUGGGAUCUUCUCUCCAAUUGUUCUCCUCACCGUGAGCUCCCGGAAAGCAAUCAGAAUCAACAAAUUUGCAACCGUCGUCUGUUCAAUCAUCGAUUUCCGUCCAAAGUCAAUCGCCGUGAAGUGGCUGAAGAAUGGACAACCCAUGGAUUCAGGAAUUGUCAACUCUCCCGCCUUUGAAAUGAACGGGAACGGGAACUUCUCGGCGACCAGUCGGCUGAAAGUCUCCGCUGGGGAAUGGUUCACCGACGCGGUCUAUACCUGUCAGGUCACUCACCAAGGGCUCACGCAAAGCCGAAACACCAUCGGGCCUGGUGAUUCCCACUGCCUCAACGAUCCCACAAUUACUCUACUGCUACCGUCAAUAGAACAGAUCUUACUGGAGGCGACGGUGACCUUGACCUGCAUCGUUUCUAAUGCUCCUUAUGGAGCUCUCGUGUCCUGGACCCAAGAAAAGAAGCUUUUGAAAUCAGAGAUUGCCGUCCAACCGGGAGAGGAUUCCAACAGCGUGGUCAGCAACGUAAACAUCUCGACACAAGCCUGGCUGAGUGGGGCUGAGUUCUACUGCGUGGUGAGCCAUCAGGAUCUGCCGACUCCUUUGAGAAGUUCCUUCCACAAGAGAGGUUAUAAUCUGCGAGAACCGUCCGUGUCUGUCCUCCUGCCCUCGGCAGAAGAUGUCUCCGCUCAGAGAUUCGUCUCCCUCAGCUGCUUAGUGAGAGGUUUCUCCCCGCGAGAGAUCUUCGUCAAGUGGACGGUCAAUGACAAGCCGGUGAAUCCCGGGAACUAUAAGAACACCGAGGUGAUGGCGGAGAAUGGCAAUCGCUCCUUCUUCAUGUACAGCCUGAUAUCUAUUGCAGCGGAGGAGUGGGCCAGCGGCGCUUCUUACUCCUGUGUGGUGGGACAUGAAGCGAUCCCCUUGAAGAUCAUCAACAGAACGGUUGAUAAAUCCAGCGAUUCAACCGACCACACCUGGAUUGAAGACUCUGAGGAUGAUAAUGGCAACAUCUGGACAACCGCUUCCACAUUCAUCAUCCUGUUCUUCCUGAGCAUAUCCUACAGCGCUGCCGUCACUCUGGUGAAGGUGAGAAGAUUCAAUCCUCUCACACCUCAAACUGACAGGAGCAGCUUGAAAAAUCUCUCAAUGUUUCAUUGAUUAAAACUUUAACAUAAAUACUCCAGAUCAUAGACAUCUGCUUCAUUAUUUUACCCUCUUUUACAAAUCAGUUGAUCGGUUGAAUUUUGGACACCAUAGUUUUUUUAGCGCUUUAUUAAGUUCUCUGUAUUCCGAAUUUAAAAUAUGUCCUCUUGAUGACUCUAAAUGUGAAAUACAUUUAGUUUGUGAUUCCGAUUCUUUAACUGAGACAAUCAUGAGGGCAUUUCUGAUUUCCUGUUUGAAAUGUGCGAUGUAAUUGUGGCUAUAUUGUAAUGGUAGCUUAUAAUUUCCCUAUAGUUUGAAUUCCCUGUGUAAAUAAGUAACUUCUCACUUUCCUUAUUCACAAUUGUUCCCUUUACGUUGAGCUCCUGUUUUCUCCUCCUGGUGUCUCUUACAGUUGUACAUGCAGCUGGCAGCUCAGAGCGAACGUGUUCUGUUCUCAAUGUGACUCUCAGUCAUUAUAUUCACUUCAGUUAACUUUAAAAUAAACUUUUCUGAAUAUG
Molecule: non-coding RNA, 2502 nt
Organism: Carcharodon carcharias (great white shark)
Lineage: Eukaryota; Metazoa; Chordata; Chondrichthyes; Lamniformes; Lamnidae
Source: the annotation of a RefSeq genome assembly